GACGAACGCUGGCGGCGUGCCUAAUACAUGCAAGUAGAACGCUGAGGAGAGGAGCUUGCUCUUCUUGGAUGAGUUGCGAACGGGUGAGUAACGCGUAGGUAACCUGCCUUGUAGCGGGGGAUAACUAUUGGAAACGAUAGCUAAUACCGCAUAACAAUGGAUGACACAUGUCAUUUAUUUGAAAGGGGCAAUUGUUCCACUACAAGAUGGACCUGCGUUGUAUUAGCUAGUAGGUGAGGUAAUGGCUCACCUAGGCGACGAUACAUAGCCGACCUGAGAGGGUGAUCGGCCACACUGGGACUGAGACACGGCCCAGACUCCUACGGGAGGCAGCAGUAGGGAAUCUUCGGCAAUGGGGGCAACCCUGACCGAGCAACGCCGCGUGAGUGAAGAAGGUUUUCGGAUCGUAAAGCUCUGUUGUAAGUCAAGAACGGGUGUGAGAGUGGAAAGUUCACACUGUGACGGUAGCUUACCAGAAAGGGACGGCUAACUACGUG
Molecule: ribosomal RNA, 497 nt
Filed under: uncultured bacterium
Lineage: Bacteria
Description: partial 16S ribosomal RNA
Rfam family: Bacterial small subunit ribosomal RNA
Source: RNAcentral